Molecule: ribosomal RNA, 753 nt
Filed under: uncultured bacterium
Lineage: Bacteria
Description: bacterial SSU rRNA
Rfam family: Bacterial small subunit ribosomal RNA
Source: RNAcentral
AGAGUUUGAUCAUGGCUCAGAACGAACGCUGGCGGCAUGCCUAACACAUGCAAGUCGAACGGGAUCCAGGCUUCGGCCUGGUGAGAGUGGCGGACGGGUGAGUAACGCGUGGGGAACCUGCCCAAUGGUCUGGGAUAACCGCGGGAAACUGCGGCUAAUACCGGAUAAGCCCGAGAGGGGAAAGAUUUAUCGCCGAUGGAGGGGCCCGCGUCAGAUUAGGUAGUUGGUGGGGUAAUGGCCUACCAAGCCUACGAUCUGUAGCUGGUCUGAGAGGAUGAUCAGCCACACUGGGACUGAGAUACGGCCCAGACUCCUACGGGAGGCAGCAGUGGGGAAUAUUGGACAAUGGGGGCAACCCUGAUCCAGCAAUGCCGCGUGAGUGAUGAAGGCCUUAGGGUUGUAAAGCUCUUUUGGCGGGGACGAUGAUGACGGUACCCGCAGAAUAAGCCCCGGCUAACUUCGUGCCAGCAGCCGCGGUAAUACGAAGGGGGCGAGCGUUGUUCGGAAUUACUGGGCGUAAAGGGCGCGUAGGCGGCCGAUCAAGUUAGAUGUGAAAGUCCUGGGCUUAACCUGGGGACUGCAUUUGAUACUGAUUGGCUUGAAUUCGGGAGAGGAUAGCGGAAUUCCCAGUGUAGAGGUGAAAUUCGUAGAUAUUGGGAAGAACACCGGUGGCGAAGGCGGCUAUCUGGACCGACAUUGACGCUGAGGCGCGAAAGCGUGGGGAGCAAACAGGAUUAGAUACCCUAGUAGUCC